Molecule: ribosomal RNA, 431 nt
Filed under: uncultured bacterium
Lineage: Bacteria
Description: bacterial SSU rRNA
Rfam family: Bacterial small subunit ribosomal RNA
Source: RNAcentral
GUCGGGAAUCUUGGGCAAUGGGCGAAAGCCUGACCCAGCAACGCCGCGUGAGGGAUGAAGGCCUUCGGGUCGUAAACCUCUGUCGGGAGGGAAGAACGGCAUCCACUCGAAUAGCGUGGGUGUUUGACGGUACCUCCAAAGGAAGCGCCGGCUAACUCCGUGCCAGCAGCCGCGGUAAUACGGAGGGCGCAAGCGUUGUUCGGAAUCAUUGGGCGUAAAGCGCGUGUAGGUGGCUUGGAAAGUUGGGUGUGAAAGCCCGGGGCCCAACCCCGGAAAUGCACUCAAAACUUCCUCGCUCGAGUCCCGGAGAGGAAGGCGGAAUUCCCGGUGUAGAGGUGAAAUUCGUAGAUAUCGGGAGGAACACCAGUGGCGAAGGCGGCCUUCUGGACGGUGACUGACACUGAGACGCGAAAGCGUGGGGAGCAAACAGG